AGCGCUCUCUUCGGAGGGAGCGGCGGACGGGUUAGUAACGCGUGGGAAUGUACCCUUCUCUAUGGAAUAGCCAUUGGAAACGAUGAGUAAUACCAUAUACGCCCUUCGGGGGAAAGAUUUAUCGGAGAAGGAUCAGCCCGCGUUAGAUUAGAUAGUUGGUGGGGUAAUGGCCUACCAAGUCUACGAUCUAUAGCUGGUUUUAGAGGAUGAUCAGCAACACUGGGACUGAGACACGGUCCAGACUCCUACGGGAGGCAGCAGUGGGGAAUAUUGCACAAUGGGGGAAACCCUGAUGCAGCCAUGCCGCGUGUGUGAAGAAGGCUCUAGGGUUGUAAAGCACUUUCAGCGAGGAGGAAAGGGUGUAUGUUAAUAGCAUGCAUCUGUGACGUUACUCGCAGAAGAAGCACCGGCUAACUCCGUGCCAGCAGCCGCGGUAAU
RNAcentral lists this ribosomal RNA (438 nucleotides) under uncultured Alphaproteobacteria bacterium. RNAcentral's name for it is "bacterial SSU rRNA". It matches the Rfam family "Bacterial small subunit ribosomal RNA", at positions 65 to 524 of the family's 1533-position model. The record is from RNAcentral. Lineage: Bacteria; Pseudomonadati; Pseudomonadota; Alphaproteobacteria.